This 900-nucleotide long non-coding RNA is filed under the name Anser brachyrhynchus (Pink-footed goose). Its description in RNAcentral is "lncRNA (ENSABRG00000003922.1)". Lineage: Eukaryota; Metazoa; Chordata; Aves; Anseriformes; Anatidae. The record is from RNAcentral.
AUGCGGAGCGCAGGUGGGAGGCAGCAGGGCGGAUGGGACACCAGCCGUUGCGACACCUUGGGAUGGAUCCUGUCCUUCAGCAAGGAGCAGGGCACGCAGGGUUCGCUCGCCCUUCCCUCGGCUCAGCGGUGCAGCACUUCGGUACAUUUACUGACAGCUAAAAAUAGACGGCCCAUGCCUCAGCUUCCUCUUCUGAGUCACCAGGAGCUCUCUGACCAAUCCACACUUGCUCAGCAGAUGUUUGGGCUCCGCUUCAGAAGGUACGGGGAGCCUGACUCCAAGAAUUGGCAGGCUUGCAGACCUUACCCAUCGCCUUACAAGGCUCCUCGGAGAAGGACGUGCAAUAAUCACGAUAACGGGACGCUGUCCAUCAGGGGGACGCCCCGCUGGGUUUGCACUACCUGCGAGGCAGGUGGAAGCAGCCCUGCUGGUCAGCGGGGUGUCCCCACAGCCUGCAGGGCAGGAAGCCUGCACGGUCCCGAGGGGGAAAGCUGGGGCUCCUCUGGCUGAGACCACACGUCCCCACUCAGCCCCUGGGCUCCCGCCGGAGGGAACCCAGCUUCUGCACAGAGCAGCUGCAUGCAAACACAGCGAGCAGGGACCUCCAGCGCUGCGCAGGGCUUUGUCCCAGCGCUGUGGGAAGGCAGAGCCAGAAACGUGCCUGCAAUCCCACUGCCCCUGCUGCGGGCUCCGGCACAGCCCGGGGGCCGGCACCCGGCUGCACUGUCACCAUGUCCACGCGGCGUGUCUAGCAACCCCCAAUUAAGCUAACAGCUAAUUAUAUUCCUCUAAUGAGACAGCACGCUUUGCUGGCUGGAAGAGAGGAUGGGGAGACAAGACUUCUGGUUUCCUUUUCAGGAUCAACCAAAAUGAGUCAUUGUCUCAGCUUUCUCUCAGCUU